GAUGAAGAACGUAGCGAAAUGCGAUACGUAAUGUGAAUUGCAGAAUUCAGUGAAUCAUCGAGUCUUUGAACGCACAUUGCGCCCGCCAGUAUUCUGGCGGGCAUGCCUGUUCGAGCGUCAUUACAACCCUCAGGCCCCCGGGCCUGGCGUUGGGGAUCGGCGGAGCCCCCCGUGGGCACACGCCGUCCCCCAAAUGCAGUGGCGGUCCCGCCGCAGCUUCCAUCGCGUAGUAGCUAACACCUCGCGACUGGAGAGCGGCGCGGCCACGCCGUAAAACACCCAACUCUUCUGAAGUUGACCUCGAAUCAGGUAGGAAUACCCGCUGAACUUAAGCAUAUCAAUAAGCGGAGGA
RNAcentral lists this unclassified non-coding RNA (352 nucleotides) under soil metagenome. Its description in RNAcentral is "partial contains 5.8S ribosomal RNA, internal transcribed spacer 2, and large subunit ribosomal RNA". The stretch from base 1 to 120 matches the Rfam family "5.8S ribosomal RNA", at positions 35 to 154 of the family's 154-position model. The record is from RNAcentral.